RNAcentral lists this long non-coding RNA (401 nucleotides) under Dasypus novemcinctus (nine-banded armadillo). Its description in RNAcentral is "lncRNA (ENSDNOG00000052939.1)". Lineage: Eukaryota; Metazoa; Chordata; Mammalia; Cingulata; Dasypodidae. The record is from RNAcentral.
GGUCUAAGCUAUGCCCAGACUGCCCCAUAUCUCCCAGCACACCCCAGGUCCAGGAGGUACCAGUGACCCUCAGGAGGGAGCUGGAAGCAGGAGACUCACACCCCCGGCUGCAUGCAGAGGCCGCUGAGUACUGGAAGGCACGCCGGCACCAGGUGGCCGUUGCCCUGAAAUUUAAAGAGGAGGAACUGCAGAGGCUCCAGAGGCAGGGUGGGGUCUGGCCUCCCCAGGCCCCCCAGAGGCCAGCCCAGGACUCAGCUGGGCCAAGGGCUUCUGUGAGCAGGAAGAUGGGGCAGCAGCUGGAGAGGGGCCCGCCGAAGCCGCAGCUCCGUGGACAGCCGCCCGCGGGGGACCCUGACACAGCUACAGAGAGGCAGGAGUGUCCAUGGGAAGAAUGGCCGUGA